AUUGAACGCUGGCGGCAUGCUUUACACAUGCAAGUCGAACGGCAGCGCGGGCUUCGGCCUGGCGGCGAGUGGCGAACGGGUGAGUAAUGCAUCGGAACGUGCCCAGUAGUGGGGGAUAGCCCGGCGAAAGCCGGAUUAAUACCGCAUACGACCUGAGGGUGAAAGCGGGGGACCGAAAGGCCUCGCGCUAUUGGAGCGGCCGAUGUCGGAUUAGCUAGUUGGUGGGGUAAAGGCUUACCAAGGCGACGAUCCGUAGCUGGUCUGAGAGGACGACCAGCCACACUGGGACUGAGACACGGCCCAGACUCCUACGGGAGGCAGCAGUGGGGAAUUUUGGACAAUGGGGGCAGCCCUGAUCCAGCCAUGCCGCGUGCGGGAAGAAGGCCUUCGGGUUGUAAACCGCUUUUGUUCGGGAAGAAAUCCUCUGGGCUAAUACCCCGGGGGGAUGACGGUACCGGAAGAAUAAGCACCGGCUAACUACGUG
This 484-nucleotide ribosomal RNA is filed under the name uncultured bacterium. Its description in RNAcentral is "partial 16S ribosomal RNA". It matches the Rfam family "Bacterial small subunit ribosomal RNA", at positions 28 to 507 of the family's 1533-position model. The record is from RNAcentral.